Molecule: ribosomal RNA, 211 nt
Filed under: Salmonella enterica subsp. enterica serovar Derby
Lineage: Bacteria; Pseudomonadati; Pseudomonadota; Gammaproteobacteria; Enterobacterales; Enterobacteriaceae
Description: partial 23S ribosomal RNA
Rfam family: Bacterial large subunit ribosomal RNA
Source: RNAcentral
UGUGUUUCAAGUGACUGCGUACCUUUUGUAUAAUGGGUCAGCGACUUAUAUUCUGUAGCAAGGUUAACCGUAUAGGGGAGCCGGAGGGAAACCGAGUCUUAACCGGGCGUUAAGUUGCAGGGUAUAGACCCGAAACCCGGUGAUCUAGCCAUGGGCAGGUUGAAGGUUGGGUAACACUAACUGGAGGACCGAACCGACUAAUGUUGAAAAA